UGCCCAGGAGGAGCCCUGCGGGAAGGGGGCCGGGGAGCAGGAAGCUACAGCCCCUACAGGCCCAGCCCUGCCUAGGUGGCAUCUCCCAACCUCUCCUGACAGUGUUUGCUGGACCUGGAAAAUGCAGCUCCUGAUCGUCUGGGACAUGCCAGCACCACAGGACAGAGGGAUCCCCCGGUGUGGUUCCCCAGUGCCAGUGUUGUCUGAUUCCAGGUGAGUCAGUUCACCAUAGACCUUCCUGAAGCCUAUUGGAGAGGCAUUUUGCUAAUGCUGGGAGCAGGAAGAUGAGACAGGCAGCCACAGACUCUGCAGAUCAGGGAGCAAAUGGUCUCUCACCCUGCAGAGACAACCUUUAU
RNAcentral lists this long non-coding RNA (356 nucleotides) under Sus scrofa (pig). RNAcentral's name for it is "lncRNA (ENSSSCG00070002746.1)". The record is from RNAcentral. Lineage: Eukaryota; Metazoa; Chordata; Mammalia; Artiodactyla; Suidae.